UGAAUGAAAGAGCUAGUGUUUUGGCAGAUAAGCUGAGUCAAGCAUCAAGAAAUCAACUUGUUUUGGUGCCACAUAAUGUUGGUUAUCAUUGGAUUCUCACUGUCAUUGAUCCAUAUAAGGAGACAGUUUAUUUGUUGGAUUCGCUUAGUCAUCGCAUUCGUGACGAGGAUUGGAAAUACGUAGUAGAUAUGAGCAUAAGAUUGUUUAAUUCAAACAAGGCAAAAAAAGGGAAAAAACAUGUUACAUGGGAAGUAGUAAAGGUAUGCAUGUCUACUUAUGAUUAAAUUACAAACAAUUAAACAUGUAUAUUAGACAUUUACAAUUUGUUUUUAACAUAGGGCCCUCGCCAACCAGAUGC
Molecule: long non-coding RNA, 358 nt
Organism: Zingiber officinale
Lineage: Eukaryota; Viridiplantae; Streptophyta; Magnoliopsida; Zingiberales; Zingiberaceae
Exons: 3
Source: RefSeq, a predicted model, not a curated record